AUGGAGAACGUAGCGAAAUGCGAUAAGUAGUGUGAAUUGCAGAAUUCAGUGAAUCAUCGAAUCUUUGAACGCACAUUGCGCCCCUUGGUAUUCCAUGGGGCAUGCCUGUUCGAGCGUCAUUUGUACCUUCAAGCUUUGCUUGGUGUUGGGUGUUUGUCUCGCCUUUGCGUGUAGACUCGCCUUAAAAUAAUUGGCAGCCGGCGUAUUGAUUUCGGAGCGCAGUACAUCUCGCGCUUUGCACUCAUAACGACAGCGUCCAAAAGUACAUUUUACACUCUUGACCUCGGAUCAGGUAGGGAUACCCGCUGAACUUAAGCAUAUCAAUAAGCGGAGGA
This 335-nucleotide unclassified non-coding RNA is filed under the name soil metagenome. RNAcentral's name for it is "partial contains 5.8S ribosomal RNA, internal transcribed spacer 2, and large subunit ribosomal RNA". The stretch from base 1 to 119 matches the Rfam family "5.8S ribosomal RNA", at positions 36 to 154 of the family's 154-position model. The record is from RNAcentral.